This 253-nucleotide ribosomal RNA is filed under the name uncultured bacterium. Its description in RNAcentral is "partial 16S ribosomal RNA". It matches the Rfam family "Bacterial small subunit ribosomal RNA", at positions 524 to 776 of the family's 1533-position model. The record is from RNAcentral.
UACGUAGGGUGCGAGCGUUAAUCGGCAUUACUGGGCGUAAAGUGGGCGCAGGCGGCCGAGCAAGUCGAGUGUGAAAGCCCCGAGCUUAACUUGGGAACUGCGCUCGAAACUACUUGGCUAGAGUGUGGCAGAGGGAGGUGGAAUUCCACGUGUAGCGGUGAAAUGCGUAGAGAUGUGGAGGAACACCGAUGGCGAAGGCAGCCUCCUGGGCCAACACUGACGCUCAUGCACGAAAGCGUGGGGAGCAAACAGG